GUGCUCAUAGCUUAACGGUAAAGCGUUGCUCUGUGGCAGCAGAUAUGAGGGUUCGAUUCCCUCUGAGCACC
This 71-nucleotide transfer RNA is filed under the name Candidatus Giovannonibacteria bacterium RIFCSPHIGHO2_02_42_15. Its description in RNAcentral is "tRNA-His". It matches the Rfam family "tRNA". Rfam says of the family: Transfer RNA (tRNA) molecules are approximately 80 nucleotides in length. Their secondary structure includes four short double-helical elements and three loops (D, anti-codon, and T loops). The record is from RNAcentral. RNAcentral also lists the same sequence under 1 other name. Lineage: Bacteria; Candidatus Giovannoniibacteriota.